This is a non-coding RNA of Caenorhabditis brenneri, 78 nucleotides long. Lineage: Eukaryota; Metazoa; Nematoda; Chromadorea; Rhabditida; Rhabditidae. The record is from Rfam.
AAACGAGUUAAUCUCAUCCUAAUCUGGUCGCAUCACAAAACUUACCUGCUACCGAUUUGGCUUGGGAUUGACUCGUUG